This 71-nucleotide small nucleolar RNA is filed under the name Catagonus wagneri (Chacoan peccary). Its description in RNAcentral is "Small nucleolar RNA SNORD113/SNORD114 family (ENSCWAG00000005116.1)". It matches the Rfam family "Small nucleolar RNA SNORD113/SNORD114 family". From Rfam's summary of the family: The imprinted human domain at 14q32 contains two clusters of tandemly repeated small nucleolar RNAs named 14q(I) and 14q(II) snoRNAs. These two clusters are named SNORD113 and SNORD114 respectively in the HGNC approved gene symbol nomenclature. The snoRNAs found in both clusters are clearly related and are represented here by a single family. The record is from Rfam by way of RNAcentral. Lineage: Eukaryota; Metazoa; Chordata; Mammalia; Artiodactyla; Tayassuidae.
UGAAUCCGUGAGGACCGCUGGUGGUCCGUGAGUCCCGGAGGGUGACUGGUCUCUGGAACUGUGAGGUCCAA